GGGGGCGACCUGGCUUCGACGGGGGUUGCGAAACUUGAGGUGCAUGCCGAGCACGUGGAAUGACUCGUUAAUCCAUCUACAAAUUAUAGUUGCCAACGACGACAACUACGCACUAGCAGCUUAAGAACCUGCGAAUGCCGUCAGACUGGAGCCGUGCUUAUGCGUCCAGACCCUGGCGUCGCUCUCAUAAGAUCGCGCGCAAAGCUUGUUUGGGGUAGAGCCGCUAAAAACUCACCAAAAUCGCUGUUUGUUUUCCCUGUUUGGCGGGUAGCAUUUAGCUAAACUUAAAGCCAAAAUAAGCAUGUAGAGCCAACGGCAGAGGACUCUCGGACGCGGGUUCGAUUCCCGCCGCCUCCACCA
Molecule: transfer-messenger RNA, 360 nt
Filed under: Gammaproteobacteria bacterium
Lineage: Bacteria; Pseudomonadati; Pseudomonadota; Gammaproteobacteria
Rfam family: transfer-messenger RNA
About the family: Bacterial tmRNA, also known as 10Sa RNA or SsrA, is named for its dual tRNA and mRNA-like properties. Its role is to liberate the mRNA from a stalled ribosome.
Source: RNAcentral